CAGUCGCCGCGGUAAUACGUAGGUGGCAAGCGUUGUUCGGAAUUAUUGGGCGUAAAGGGCGCGUAGGCGGUUUGACAAGUCUUAUGUGAAAUCUUCGGGCUCAACUCGAAGUCUGCAUGGGAAACUGUCGGGCUUGAGUAUGGGAGAGGUGAGUGGAAUUUCCGGUGUAGCGGUGAAAUGCGUAGAUAUCGGAAGGAACACCUGUGGCGAAAGCGGCUCACUGGACCAUAACUGACGCUGAGGCGCGAAAGCUAGGGGGGCAAACAGGAUUAGAUACCCGAGUAGUCCCUGUCUCUUAUAA
RNAcentral lists this ribosomal RNA (301 nucleotides) under uncultured bacterium. Its description in RNAcentral is "partial 16S ribosomal RNA". It matches the Rfam family "Bacterial small subunit ribosomal RNA", at positions 509 to 809 of the family's 1533-position model. The record is from RNAcentral.